AAUAGGACCACCCUGUAGUAAGAGAGAUGAUAUUUUCUCGUAAAAUUCAUAAACCAGAUUGCGAUUCAUAUUACAAUAAUAAACGUAUUCAAGAGUGUAUGUACAUACGUAUAUUAAGAGACAAGGACGGAGAAUUCCUUAUGUUUUCCACAGAUCCUUUCCCAGAGAUCUUCUCCCCCCCAUUCUUGCUUAGAUGAAUUAUUCCACACCCAGGAAAUUCUAAAAUCUCCGUCCUUAUUAAGAGGGAAUAUUUUCAGCUGAUUCUAAAUCCACUACUCUAUAAAUGUCAUUCAAUUUUGACAUUCCCGUUACGUAAAAGCCGGUCGCGGUUCUCUUCAAUUAACUUAACGUUCCAAAUAUAUCCUGCAAAAAAACCGACAAACUCUUAGCUGUUAAUAAUUGUCUAACCGGCUGGCUUGUCUUAAAUAUGAGAAGUUUGUUUUUUUCCUUAAUAAUUACUUUAUGAAGAACUUUUGUUGUUCACCAAGGGCAUUUGUUCCGUUUUAAUUGACACCGACGAGAUACUCUUAAAGACCGACACCCUUACGGGACUUAGCGUGGCAGCUGGUUUAGUAAUUACUAAAAUUUAAGCAAUUAGUCAAUAUACUCAAAUCAUUAUUUCAAAUGUAAAAU
Wasmannia auropunctata (little fire ant) is the source of this 633-nucleotide long non-coding RNA. RefSeq lists it as uncharacterized. The record is from RefSeq and is a predicted model, not a curated record. The transcript is spliced from 3 exons. NCBI's taxonomy places the organism in Eukaryota, Metazoa, Arthropoda, Insecta, Hymenoptera, Formicidae.